AUUCCUUUGUCUCCGCUGGACUCGGGGUACCCGCUGGGUGGUAUGGGACUCGUUUCCCCAACAGUUACUACAUACUUAAAGAAAAAACUCCCAUACUUAAACUCCUGCACCUUUGGAUUUCUUAUGAGAAAAAUGAGGCUCUGAGAGCCUAAAUUACGUGCUCCUGGCACAGAACUCCUAAGUAUGUGAGAUGAGAUUCUAAUGCACAUCUGUAUUAAAGAAUCCUGGACUGCAAAGUGGCUGCAUGGAGGUCAGGCACUCUGGAAAGCCUCCUAGUCCCCAAACAGACUUGUUUGAAUAAAAGGCAUUGGAAAGGAAAAGGACCUACUUCAAGUACUCCAUCUCAGAAAGGAACCAAAUCACUUCUUAUGUUCUACUGUUCACAGAUGCCGGCCCCAUGGCACAAGCAGGUAACAAAAAAAGAGGACUGUGAGUUCUGCCACAACUGGCUCGAUUGCUGCCACAGCCUCUGAAGAAUGCCUUGACCUCCACUUACCUCUCAAAUCUCAGAUGAACUGAUUUCACUUACACAGCCUCAAUUUCAUUCAUAUUCCUAGAUCCAAGAGAGUCUAGGAAAUGUAGAUUUUAGUCUUUUAGUGUUUCUGACUUAGAACAUGGAAGGGCUAAGUGGCUAUCAUUGCUAAACCCCAAUUGGCAACAAUUAGUCCAAUUAAAUUUCUUUUUUGGCUCCCUCACUUUUUUUUUUGGUCUUUCUGGCAGUUGAAGAGAGAGAGUUUCUUUGUUUGUUUGUUUGUCUGAGACAGAGUCUCACUCUGUCAUCCAGGCUGGAGUGCAGUGGUGCGAUCUCGGCUCACUGCAACGUCCGCCUCCCGGGUUCAAGCAAUUCUCUGCCUCAGCCUCCCAAGUAGCUGGGAUUACAGGUGUCCACCACCAUGCCUGGCUAAUUUUUGUAUUUUUAGUAGAGAUGGGGUUUCACCAUCUUGGCCAGGCUUGUCUUGAACUCCUGACCUUGUGAUCCACCCACCUCGGCCUCCCAAAGUGCUGGGAUUACAGACAUGAGCCACCAUGCCCA
Molecule: long non-coding RNA, 1033 nt
Organism: Pongo pygmaeus (Bornean orangutan)
Lineage: Eukaryota; Metazoa; Chordata; Mammalia; Primates; Hominidae
Exons: 4
Source: RefSeq, a predicted model, not a curated record